CCUACGGGUGGCAGCAGUGAGGAAUAUUGGUCAAUGGCCGAGAGGCUGAACCAGCCAAGUCGCGUGAGGGAAGACGGCCCUACGGGUUGUAAACCUCUUUUGUCGGGGAGCAAAGCGAGUCACGUGUGACUCAUUGAGAGUACCCGAAGAAAAAGCAUCGGCUAACUCCGUGCCAGCAGCCGCGGUAAUACGGGGGAUGCGAGCGUUAUCCGGAUUUAUUGGGUUUAAAGGGUGCGCAGGCGGGCCUUUAAGCCGGCGGUAAAAUCGCGGGGCUCAACCCCGCCGAGCCGUCGGAACUGGGUGCCUUGAGUGCUGCGGAGGCAUGCGGAAUGCGCGGUGUAGCGGUGAAAUGCAUAGAUAUCGCGCAGAACCCCGAUUGCGAAGGCAGCGUGCCGUGCCGCCACUGACGCUGAGGCACGAAAGCGCGGGGAUCGAACAGGAUUAGAUACCCCUGUAGUC
Molecule: ribosomal RNA, 459 nt
Filed under: uncultured bacterium
Lineage: Bacteria
Description: partial 16S ribosomal RNA
Rfam family: Bacterial small subunit ribosomal RNA
Source: RNAcentral